UAGGGAAUCUUCGGCAAUGGACGAAAGUCUGACCGAGCAACGCCGCGUGAGUGAAGAAGGUUUUCGGAUCGUAAAACUCUUUUGGUAGAGAAGAACGUUGGUGAGAGUGGAAAGCUCNUCAAGUGACGGUAACUACCCAGAAAGGGACGGCUAACUACGUGCCAG
RNAcentral lists this ribosomal RNA (165 nucleotides) under uncultured bacterium. RNAcentral's name for it is "partial 16S rRNA". It matches the Rfam family "Bacterial small subunit ribosomal RNA", at positions 355 to 511 of the family's 1533-position model. The record is from RNAcentral.